GCUGAGGCGCAUUUGCGACGAGGUGGAGGUGUGGGGAGCGGCUGUGGUACCGAGAAAGCGGAAAAGAAAGGAGGAAGUGAAAGGAGACGAAGAAAAUUAGAAGGGAGAAGAAAGCAAGGGGUCAGAGAGAAGUGUGUUGUCCUGGUUUUUUCGGCAGAAAGAGAUUACAGGCCCUGACGUAGUGAAGCACGCGCGUCCUAGUCAUAUCUGAAUAAUAAGUGGUUACAGGAAAAGGAGGUAGGGAGGAGACUUACAGUCCUCGUAUCUGGGGAUGCAAUGAGUGAAGUUCGACGGGUGUGGCCCUGGCAAACCCGCACAUAGCCUGGAGGAGGAACAGGGCCACACACGAGAUAACUCAAGAGGCAAAAAUUAGUCACACUGCCAAACUGAAAGUUGGAAAUCAAGAUUAUCCAAAACAGUUUGUGAUCUGGUUUUCAUCUUUGAUAAUAUCUUAUUAAUAUCUUCGAAAAUUUAACUUCUAGUACACAAUCCAUUGUUUCAGUGGUGUGGUAUACAUUGUAAAACUUUUGACGAUUUCAAAAGCCAGAUUUACCAAACUUUUAACAACUGUGCUGAAGGCGUAGAGCUCUUGGCAUCUAAACGUCUGCACUAAGAGACUUGACCAAACUCUUGUCAGCGAACAUUCAAUUAACUACUAAGUUAAGAAGAAAAAAGGGAAUUUUAUUGGAGCCAAACUGAAGAUUUUAACCUGGGAAGCAGAUUCUCAGAAAGCUUCGUUAGAAGACGAAGGCUCAGUCAUACGUUUUUGAGUCAAAGGAUCAUACAGCAAAAUGACAUACUGAAAUUUCACAUGAAGUUCACCAGAGAUACGUAGUCCAGCUUCUUAGCCCGGGUUCCCCAUCUCUGGUGAUAAGGGUGGCCUUCUACCUCAAGAUAUGGCAAGUACAACUUUCACAUGAGAGAUUUAUUUCCUGCUUUCAUGGAGACAGAAAGAAGGGAAUGCUCGGCUUCUUGGUGGAAGCACAGAAAAGAAGAAAACAGGACUUAACAAGGGGUUAAAUCUUCAUCAGGGUUACAAAUCAAGGACAAAUAACCCUGCACAUUCUUCUGUUUACUCCCUCAUCUCUGCACAGGGCAGCAACCAGACACCUGAGGGACCUUGGAGUUGAGGGGGCUUGCAGUAGGAACCUGCCAGCUGCCUGUGGACCCCACACCAGUGGGCUUGGAAGACAGACCAUCCAGCCAAAGACUAUUCUUGAACCUUAGGGCUUAAUGUUUUAAUGUUUGAUUCAUUAGGUUUUGGACUUACCUGGGACCUGUUCUUUCUUCUUUUCUAUUUCUCCCUUUUGGAAUGGGAAUGUCUAUCCUAUGCUUGUCCCACCAUUGUACUCUAGAAGUUCAUAGCAUGUUAGCUUCACAGGCUCACAGCUGGAGAGCAAUUUUCCUCAGGCUGAAUCAUACCUUGAGUCUCACCCAUAUCUGAUUUAGAUGAUAUAUAAAUGAGUCUUUGGAUUUUAGACUUUAGAGCUCAUGCUGAAAUGAGUUAAGACUUUUAGGGCUUUUGGGAUGUGAUGAAGGUGUUGUGCAUGUGAGAAGGACAUGAAUUUUCAAGGGCCAGAAGUGGAAUGCUAUAGGCUGAAUAUGUCUUCUGAAAAUUCACAUGUUGAAAUCCUAACCCUCAAGGUGAUGGUAUUUAGAGAGGAGGUGAUGAAGUCCUGAGAGGGGAGCCCUCAUGAAUGGCAUCCUUAUAAAAGAGGUCCUAGAGUGCUCCCUUACCCCUUCUGCCAUGUGAGGAUACAAAAGAACAAGGCCAUUUAUGAUCCAGCAAGCAAGAUCUCUUCCAACACAGAGUCUGCUGAUGUCUUGAUCUUAGACUUACCAGCCUCCAGAACUGUGAAAAAUAAAUUUCUAUUGUUUAUAAGCUACCCAGUCUAUGGUAUUCUAGUAUAGCAACCUAAAAGGGCUAGCACACUCAUAGAAAGGUAGACAAUGAAGUUAUGGACUUAGGUAAAAUGUCUAGAGAAGACAGUGCUUGACACAUUCUUCAGACUUCAUAUUCAAUAUCACAUCCUCUGGGCACCCUAAAUAAAGGAGAUACCCCUCCCAUAUUUCUAUUAUUCUCUGUCAAAGCACCCCUUUGAUGCUUUCAUAGAAUUUUUAUAAAUUUAUAAUUACAUAUUCAUAUGGUUUAUUACUUCAUUUUCUACCUUCCUCACUAGGGUGUAGAGAUUCACAAGGACAGAUAGUAAAUGGCUUUAUUCAAAAUUAUAACAAUAAUAAUGAUAGAAGACUCAUAAGUGUUCUGUGUAUAUUAAUAGAUCUCUCCUCACAGCAAUUCUAAAAGUUAAAUUUUAUUCUUAUCAGUACUUUAUAGUUGAAGGAAAUAAGGUACAGAGGGGUUGAGAAACUUGCCCAAGGUCACAAAACUAGAAACAAUGGAGCCAAGAUUCAAAUUUUGGAAAUUUGGCUCCGAAAUCAGUGCUCUUAACUUCUGUUAUCAUGUCACACUGCCCCUUUAAACUGGGAACUAUCGUAAUCAUUGCCAGAAGGGAGGUGUGUAAUAAUGUGCUACAGGAAUGGAUGAAGGAUUCAACCAUGUUAUCCUACUAUUUAAAAUGUAUCAAUAGUCCUGAUCUCUACUUGGGUAAUAUCAUAUUCUAGUCUAUAACAUAGAAAGUACUGCAAGACUU
Non-coding RNA from Vicugna pacos (alpaca), 2651 nucleotides. Lineage: Eukaryota; Metazoa; Chordata; Mammalia; Artiodactyla; Camelidae. The record is from RefSeq and is a predicted model, not a curated record.